CAGUAGCCACGGUAAUACAGAGGGUGCGAGCGUUAAUCGGAUUUACUGGGCGUAAAGCGUGCGUAGGCGGCUUUUUAAGUCGGAUGUGAAAUCCCUGAGCUUAACUUAGGAAUUGCAUUCGAUACUGGGAAGCUAGAGUAUGGGAGAGGAUGGUAGAAUUCCAGGUGUAGCGGUGAAAUGCGUAGAGAUCUGGAGGAAUACCGGUGGCGAAGGCGGCCCCCUGGACAAAGACUGACGCUCAGGUGCGAAAGCGUGGGGAGCAAACAGGAUUAGAUACCCGAGUAGUCCCUGUCUCUUAUAA
Molecule: ribosomal RNA, 301 nt
Filed under: uncultured bacterium
Lineage: Bacteria
Description: partial 16S ribosomal RNA
Rfam family: Bacterial small subunit ribosomal RNA
Source: RNAcentral